UACGAAGGGGGCUAGCGUUGCUCGGAAUCACUGGGCGUAAAGCGCACGUAGGCGGCUUUUUAAGUCAGGGGUGAAAUCCUGGAGCUCAACUCCAGAACUGCCUUUGAUACUGAGAAGCUUGAGUCCGGGAGAGGUGAGUGGAACUGCGAGUGUAGAGGUGAAAUUCGUAGAUAUGACAUAGAACACCAAUUGCGAAGGUAGCUUACUACGCAGUUAUUGACGCUGAGGCACGAAAGCGUGGGGAUCAAACAGG
This 253-nucleotide ribosomal RNA is filed under the name uncultured bacterium. RNAcentral describes it as "partial 16S ribosomal RNA". It matches the Rfam family "Bacterial small subunit ribosomal RNA", at positions 524 to 776 of the family's 1533-position model. The record is from RNAcentral.